This 328-nucleotide ribosomal RNA is filed under the name uncultured eukaryote. Its description in RNAcentral is "partial 18S ribosomal RNA". It matches the Rfam family "Eukaryotic small subunit ribosomal RNA", at positions 1470 to 1796 of the family's 1831-position model. The record is from RNAcentral.
CCCUUAGAUGUCCUGGGCCGCACGCGCGUUACACUGAUGCAUUCAACGAGCUUAUAACCUUGGCCGAGAGGCCCGGGCAAUCUUGUUAACGUGCAUCGUGAUAGGGAUAGAUUAUUGAAAUUAUUAAUCUUGAACGAGGAAUUCCUAGUAAACGCAGAUCAUCAAUCUGCAUUGAUUACGUCCCUGCCCUUUGUACACACCGCCCGUCGCACCUACCGAUUGGGUGGUCCGGUGAAGCCUCGGGAUUGUGGUUCUUGCCGCUUUAUUGUGGCGUGACCGCGAGAACUUGUCUAAACCUUAUCAUCUAGAGGAAGGUGAAGUCGUAACA